GCGGUAAGUAUUCGUUUAGAGGCCAUUUUUGACCUCUCCCGAAUACAGAAUUAGAACCGUACCUUGCCAAGGUAAGGGUCGCCGGUUCGAGCCCGGUCUCCCGCU
This 105-nucleotide transfer RNA is filed under the name Candidatus Aeolococcus gillhamiae. RNAcentral describes it as "tRNA-Gly". Lineage: Bacteria; Bacillati; Candidatus Dormiibacterota; Candidatus Dormibacteria; Candidatus Aeolococcales; Candidatus Aeolococcaceae. The record is from RNAcentral.